Molecule: ribosomal RNA, 400 nt
Filed under: uncultured Geobacteraceae bacterium
Lineage: Bacteria; Pseudomonadati; Thermodesulfobacteriota; Desulfuromonadia; Geobacterales; Geobacteraceae
Description: partial 16S ribosomal RNA
Rfam family: Bacterial small subunit ribosomal RNA
Source: RNAcentral
CCUACGGGGGGCAGCAGUGGGGAAUUUUGCGCAAUGGGGGCAACCCUGACGCAGCAACGCCGCGUGAGUGAUGAAGGCCUUCGGGUCGUAAAGCUCUGUCAGAGGGGAAGAAAUGCAGGUGGUGAACAACCAUUCUGUUUGACGGUACCCUCAAAGGAAGCACCGGCUAACUCCGUGCCAGCAGCCGCGGUAAUACGGAGGGUGCGAGCGUUGUUCGGAAUUAUUGGGCGUAAAGCGCGUGUAGGCGGUUUGUUAAGUCUGUUGUGAAAGCCCCGGGCUCAACCUGGGAAGUGCUUUGGAUACUGGCAGACUUGAGUCCGGGAGAGGAGAUUGGAAUUCCCAGUGUAGGCGUGAAAUCCGUAGAUAUUGGGAGGACCCCCGGUGGCGAGGGCGGCUCUCU